RNAcentral lists this ribosomal RNA (462 nucleotides) under Nocardia paucivorans. RNAcentral describes it as "bacterial SSU rRNA". It matches the Rfam family "Bacterial small subunit ribosomal RNA", at positions 28 to 507 of the family's 1533-position model. The record is from RNAcentral. Lineage: Bacteria; Bacillati; Actinomycetota; Actinomycetes; Mycobacteriales; Nocardiaceae.
GACGAACGCUGGCGGCGUGCUUAACACAUGCAAGUCGAGCGGUAAGGCCCUUCGGGGUACACGAGCGGCGAACGGGUGAGUAACACGUGGGUGAUCUGCCUUGCACUUCGGGAUAAGCCUGGGAAACUGGGUCUAAUACCGGAUAUGACCACUGGUCGCAUGGUUGGUGGUGGAAAGAUUUAUCGGUGCAAGAUGAGCCCGCGGCCUAUCACCUUGUUGGUGGGGUAAUGGCCUACCAAGGCGACAACUGGUAGCCGGCCUGAGAGGGCAACCGGCCACACUGGGACUGAGACACGGCCCAGACUCCUACGGGAGGCAGCAGUGGGGAAUAUUGCACAAUGGGCGAAAGCCUGAUGCAGCGACGCCGCGUGAGGGAUGACGGCCUUCGGGUUGUAAACCUCUUUCGACAGGGACGAAGCCCAAGUGACGGUACCUGUAGAAGAAGCACCGGCCAACUACGUG